Molecule: long non-coding RNA, 606 nt
Filed under: Mytilus galloprovincialis (Mediterranean mussel)
Lineage: Eukaryota; Metazoa; Mollusca; Bivalvia; Mytilida; Mytilidae
Source: RNAcentral
GCUUUUAAUUUUUUCUGUAUAGUUUUCUAAAGUUUUAUCCUCAUUUAAGAGAUUGAAACGAAUUCCCAACAGUUUAAACUUUCCUGAAGUAUUCCAAGAUAAUUUCCUAUUUGGUAACAGUUUUUCGUUACUGCCUAAUCUUGAGCCAACCCAUAUGGCUUCAGUUUUAUCUACAUUUACCCUCAAACCAGCACAGGCAGCAAAACUAUCAAAAAUGUGCAAUGCUUGUUUAAGAGAUUCCUCAUUUUCAUCCAGAAUCAGAGAGGAGUCAUCUGCAUAUUGACUUAGUAAAAACUCAGAGUCGUUUACUGUGACACCAGAAACAAUUGGGUCAUAUUUUAAAGCUGCACUAAGUAGUUCCAACACAAGGAUGAAGAGAUAAGGGGAUAAAGGAUCCCCUUGCCUAACCCCCCUAGCCAAAUUAAAAAAUUCUGAUAAAUGUCCAUUAUUUGUAACUGUACUGGUAAUGUCUGUAUAAAAACAUUUUAUCCAUCUACAAAGUGUGGGACCAAACCCAUAAAAAUCUAAAGUUUUUUCAAUAAAGGACCAUUCGACCGUGUCGAAGGCUUUUUCAAAGUCAACCAGUAAUAAUAAUCCUGGAAUAUC